UACAGAGGUGGCAAGCGUUGUUCGGAAUUACUGGGCGUAAAGGGCGCGUAGGCGGUUCGUUAAGUCCCGUGUGAAAUCCCUCGGCUCAACUGAGGAACUGCACGGGAAACUGACGGGCUUGAGUUCGGAAGAGGGAAGCGGAAUUCCGGGUGUAGCGGUGAAAUGCGUAGAUAUCCGGAGGAACACCGGUGGCGAAGGCGGCUUCCUGGACCGACACUGACGCUGAGGCGCGAAAGCUAGGGGAGCAAACGGG
This 253-nucleotide ribosomal RNA is filed under the name uncultured bacterium. RNAcentral describes it as "partial 16S ribosomal RNA". It matches the Rfam family "Bacterial small subunit ribosomal RNA", at positions 524 to 776 of the family's 1533-position model. The record is from RNAcentral.